This 492-nucleotide small RNA is filed under the name Pan troglodytes (chimpanzee). RNAcentral's name for it is "processed transcript". The record is from RNAcentral. Lineage: Eukaryota; Metazoa; Chordata; Mammalia; Primates; Hominidae.
GCAGACCAAGCUGCGGGAGCUGCAGCUGCAAUACCAGGCUAGCAUGGAUGAGCAGGGGCGGCUUCUGGUAGUGCAGGAGCAGCUGGAGGGGCAGCUGCAGUGCUGCCAGGAGGAGCUCCGCCAGCUCAGGGAGAAGAGGUCCUCUGUUGUCAAAGAAGCCCGGGGGAAGAAUGCUAAUAAGAACAUGAACAAGAAUGCCAAUGGGGUUAAAAUGAAAAAGGUGACCAAGCCAUGCUCGGAUACUUCUGAGAGCGACCUUGAGACCAGAAAGAAGAUCAGGAGGAAAAUGAGGACAAAGAGGAAGAGGAGAAGGAAGAAGACAGUGAAGAGGAGGAAGAUGACGUCGACUCUUCCCUUGAAAGUCCCGAAGAAAAUAACCCCCUCAGACUUUCCGAGAGCAAAAAGAACAUGUUUGGGUUGUGGAAGCCUAUGGUAUUCUUGGCUAUUGCAGCUGUGGCUCUGUAUGUGUUACCCAACAUGCGACAGCAGGAG